This 252-nucleotide ribosomal RNA is filed under the name uncultured bacterium. Its description in RNAcentral is "partial 16S ribosomal RNA". It matches the Rfam family "Bacterial small subunit ribosomal RNA", at positions 524 to 776 of the family's 1533-position model. The record is from RNAcentral.
UACGUAGGGUGCAAGCGUUAAUCGGAAUACUGGGCGUAAAGCGUGCGCAGGCGGUGAUGUAAGACAGAUGUGAAAUCCCCGGGCUUAACCUGGGAACUGCGUUUCUAACUGGCAGGCUUGAGUGUGGCAGAGGGGGGUGGAAUUCCACGUGUAGCAGUGAAAUGCGUAGAGAUGUGGAGGAACACCGAUGGCGAAGGCAGCCCCCUGGGCUAACACUGACGCUCAUGCACGAAAGCGUGGGGAGCAAACAGG